RNAcentral lists this ribosomal RNA (468 nucleotides) under uncultured bacterium. Its description in RNAcentral is "partial 16S ribosomal RNA". It matches the Rfam family "Bacterial small subunit ribosomal RNA", at positions 28 to 507 of the family's 1533-position model. The record is from RNAcentral.
GACGAACGCUGGCGGCGUGCUUAACACAUGCAAGUCGAACGGAAAGGCCCUGCUUUUGUGGGGUGCUCGAGUGGCGAACGGGUGAGUAACACGUGAGUAACCUGCCCUUGACUUUGGGAUAACUUCAGGAAACUGGGGCUAAUACCGGAUAGGAGCUCCUGCUGCGUGGUGGGGGUUGGAAAGUUUCGGCGGUUGGGGAUGGACUCGAGGCUUAUCAGCUUGUUGGUGGGGUAGUGGCUUACAAAGGCUUUGACGGGUAGCCGGCCUGAGAGGGUGACCGGCCACAUUGGGACUGAGAUACGGCCCAGACUCCUACGGGAGGCAGCAGUGGGGAAUAUUGCACAGUGGGCGGAAGCCUGAUGCAGCAACGCCGCGUGCGGGAUGACGGCCUUCGGGUUGUAAACCGCUUUCGCCUGUGACGAAGCGUGAGUGACGGUAAUGGGUAAAGAAGCACCGGCUAACUACGUG